This 846-nucleotide ribosomal RNA is filed under the name uncultured bacterium. RNAcentral describes it as "bacterial SSU rRNA". It matches the Rfam family "Bacterial small subunit ribosomal RNA", at positions 8 to 883 of the family's 1533-position model. The record is from RNAcentral.
AGAGUUUGAUCAUGGCUCAGGAUGAACGCUGGCGGCGUGCCUAACACAUGCAAGUCGAGCGAUUCUCUUCGGAGAAGAGCGGCGGACGGGUGAGUAACGCGUGGGUAACCUGCCUCAUACACAUGGAUAACAUACCGAAAGGUAUGCUAAUACAAGAUAAUAUAAGAGAUUCGCAUGGAUUUCUUAUCAAAGCUCCGGCGGUAUGAGAUGGACCCGCGUCUGAUUAGCUAGUUGGUAAGGUAACGGCUUACCAAGGCGACGAUCAGUAGCCGACCUGAGAGGGUGAUCGGCCACAUUGGAACUGAGACACGGUCCAAACUCCUACGGGAGGCAGCAGUGGGGAAUAUUGCACAAUGGGCGAAAGCCUGAUGCAGCAACGCCGCGUGAGCGAUGAAGGCCUUCGGGUCGUAAAGCUCUGUCCUCAAGGAAGAUAAUGACGGUACUUGAGGAGGAAGCCCCGGCUAACUACGUGCCAGCAGCCGCGGUAAUACGUAGGGGGCUAGCGUUAUCCGGAUUUACUGGGCGUAAAGGGUGCGUAGGUGGUUUCUUAAGUCAGGAGUGAAAGGCUACGGCUCAACCGUAGUAAGCUCUUGAAACUGGGAAACUUGGGUGCAGGAGAGGAAAGUGGAAUUCCUAGUGUAGCGGUGAAAUGCGUAGAUAUUAGGAGGAACACCAGUAGCGAAGGCGGCUUUCUGGACUGUAACUGACACUGAGGCACGAAAGCGUGGGGAGCAAACAGGAUUAGAUACCCUGGUAGUCCACGCCGUAAACGAUGAGUACUGGGUGUCGGGGGUUACCCCCCUCGGUGCCGCAGCUAACGCAUUAAGUACUCCGCCUGGGGAGUAC